GCUGGGCAUGGUGGCGCACGUCUGUAAUCCCAGCAGCUGGGGAGGCUGAGGCAGGAGGAUUGUGAGUUCAAAGCCAGCCUCAGCAAUAGCGAGGCACUAAGCAACUCAGUGAGACCCUGUCUCUA
This 125-nucleotide small RNA is filed under the name Marmota monax (woodchuck). The record is from RNAcentral. Lineage: Eukaryota; Metazoa; Chordata; Mammalia; Rodentia; Sciuridae.